This is a long non-coding RNA of Labrus bergylta (ballan wrasse), 2379 nucleotides long. RefSeq lists it as uncharacterized. Lineage: Eukaryota; Metazoa; Chordata; Actinopteri; Labriformes; Labridae. The record is from RefSeq and is a predicted model, not a curated record.
UGUCCGAACUUGGGAGCAGGAAGCGAAGGCAUUUAUGGGGACGUGGAGGGGUUGGUGGUGGAUAGAUCGAGGGAGGGGAAGGGAGUCUGUUAUUGGGUUGACCCCACAUCUCCACUCCCCCCACUCCCCCCACUCCCACCACCACCACCACCACCACCGCGGCCCGAGCCAUCGACCCAAAUUGAAAUGGACUUUGAAGUUAUUCGUCAUACUGAAAGCUUUGUUGUCCCCGUUCGGGAUAAUGAAGUGCAUGAGAACUCAGUCUCCAGUGUCGAUACACAAUAGACGACGUUUCAGUGCCGUGGCUGCAUAAGAGUAUGGAUUUCUGGCACAAUGUCCAAGGUGCAUGCAGAGGGGAAACGGUGUUAAGAGGUCAUAAAGUUGUUCUUUGUACUACAAGUGCUGCUGGAGUUUUGACAUUGCUGCAUCCUCAGAAGCCUGCCUAUAAACCAUCGGAGUGUUGUCACAGUAACAGCAAACACAGGCCAGUUGCCACAGAGCUGGCAUGUCCCAUCUGAAGGCCAGGACGUCUGGGAUACCUGAUACUUCACUGACCAAUCACAUGGUCACAGAGAGAUACCUGAUCUGCUGCGAGCCAAUGAGACGCCUCCUGCAUACAGUUGGAUAAAUGCCACAGCUGCAGCCAGUAUAUGAGUGGUCAAUAAGAAUAAUAUGUGACAGUGGACAUACCAUGUUGUUGUUGUAAGAGUGUGAUCAGACCACAGCCUGGAUUCAACAGAUUAAAACAAAAACUGUAAGACAAGUGUGACAUAACACAGGGAUUGUUUUAAGAUGCAAUCCAAACUAAUCUUAUAACAGUACACGUGACAGAAGAAAAACACAUCAUAUGCAGUACAAGGGGAUUAUGAAGGAUAUGUGGGAGAUAAUGGACUUUCAACACAACACUACAUAAACAGUAUAGCUUUGAAUCAAUAUGCUGUUGCUUGGAUGUUUCACAAGGAAUUUAUUGAAAGAAGCUUUUAUAUUCAGUCUCACACACGCACACAUGGAAGGCAAUCUGAUUUUUUUUUUCAUUCCCUAAGACAGCCACCUAUAAAAAAAAGUGGCAUUUUCAAGAAAUGAGGUCAUCAUGUUAAUGUGUAUAUGUGGCUGUGAUUAGUGCUUCUAUUAAUAGUCUGAUGUACUUUCAUACCACUGGAGCUCAUAAGCAGACAAUCUUCAGACCCGUUAAAGUCGAGUCAGGCCGAAACCAAAGAAUAUGUUUUAUUAUUCAUAAAUGUUUUUUACCCAUUAAUUAAUCAUUUGGGUUUAUAUGCAGAAAAUUUGGGGAAAUGCCAGGCACCCUUACCCAUGAGGCCGAGGAGGCGUCUUAAAGCGACUUGUUUUUUUGUGCGACCAACAGUUAAAGAAACUGAAGUGUCUGAACGCUAGUGAAAAGCAAGGCAAGGCAAGUUUAAUUAUAUAGCACCUUUCAGACACCAGGCAAUUCAAAGUGCUUUACACAGGCACAAAAAGCAUUUCAAACAUUUCACAAGAUAAUAAUAAAACAAUAAACUAAAUCUAAGAAGGCAAUACAAGUUGAGGUAAAAAUAAGAUUUAGAUCCAAAUAAGUUUAAUAAAAAGUAAUUGAUCAAAAGAAAACAGUAAAAACGUAUUGUAAAUACACACAUACACAUAUACAUAUCUGUGAGUAAAACAAAGCAAAGCAAAUGUCUCUAAUAACCGACAUGGUAUGCCACAUUAAACAGAAAUGUUUAGCCUUAGAGGCUGGACUGAGAGACAGUGAAGUUCAAGACUAAAUGCUAAUGUCAGCAUGCUAACAUGCAUGAUGGCAAUGCUAGCAUUCAAUGCUAAACUAAAAGUAUGUUUGCCAGCUUGGUUAACAUUUGAUGAAGCACAGAGGAGGCUGAUUGGAGUCUUAAUUGUUUAAUAUGUAAAAAAAAUAAAUGCAUAAAGACAAUAAUCUAAAGAAUGAUAAAAUUAGAUUCUGAACAGACGAUGAUGGAGCUGGGGGGAAGCUCCUGAGAUAUUUCAGUUUCUCCAGAGGUGAACAUGAAAGCUUAUAAAAAUGUUACAGAGGUAAUCAUCCAAGAGUUAAGACAUUUCACAUGCAGACACAAACGUCAAAGUAAUGGUGGCAGUAGGGAAAACAAAGUAACAGGACUACCCAAGUCAUGAAGAUUGAUCAUCUGGUAACCAUGAAUGUGUAUGCAAAAUGUAUGCAGGUUUUUCAACUGUCGUGGACGUGUUUUAAAACAUAGUUCUUAAUAAUUCAUCCCCUGGGCACCAUUAUUGUCUAUAAAAAUGUAUUAGCAAUGAAACUAAAAAAUGAACAUAAUCUCUCUAUUUUUUUGUUUUUUUAAUGUAUUCAUCAUACAUUGUACAAUCAUUUUAAACAAUAUAAACAGUUAAAACAAA